AUGGGAACUGUCUGCCGGCUGCUCUUGUGGAAGCAGUCAGAUUGAGUGUUUGUAGCUGGGGGACUUGAAGCAGAGCGACGUGCUCCCUCUUCUCCCAAACAAACCAGGACAGCUGGAAGGGCUGAGGCUGGCUGGGAAGGCCGCGGGACGGGAAUCGCCUCCUGAGGGUGACCAGGCAGAAAUCAGUGCUCUUUGCUAACGGCUCCUUCCGCUCUGAACACCAAGGCCUGGUGAAGCAGGAGGAGGUAAAUGCUGUUUGUGGAGGAGGCAGGGCUGGUUUGCCUGGUUGCAGGCAGGGCCAGCUGCCGCAGCCGUGACCCAGCCACAGAAAUCUGAGCCCGCCAGCAGUUGUGCUGGGAGGGCUGUGCUCUCACGUUUCCGUUCUGUUGUGGAGCCUCUGAUAAGUAGUGGCCUUGCUUUUUUCCUUCCUUCCUUUCUUCCUUUCUUUCUCCCUCUCUUUUUAUUUAUUUAUUUAUUUAUUUUCCGAACGUACUUCCACAGUCUCAAGGAAGGAAUUUAAUAAAAAAAAAAAAAAAAAAAAGAGAGAGAGAGAGAGAGAGAGCUCUGGAAUGGGAACAAGUAUGUUUCAAAUUACAGAAAGGAUGUUAAAGGUUCAAGAAUUUGCGAUCUGACUCCGCCUGUGUCUGUCUCCACCUCCCAGAGAGCAGCUCCACUUGUGGCUUUUCCACCACGGCGGUGGGGCUGCGCUGCCAGGGGUUGGGCCGUGCCUGGUGGGUACCGUGGUGGAGCAGCGGCCCUGCAGAGGCAGUGGGCCUGUCACACAGCAGGCCUGUUGGGUCACUGGGCCUGCCGGGAUGUGGCCGUGCUGGGACGUGGCCUUCCAGCCUGAGCCAUGCCCGGCUGUCGCUGGUGGGGCCUCCCGCACCCUCACAAGCUGCAUUUUCAAGGGGUUCAGAAAACCUUUUUAGCAGUGCACAGUUUGGCUUGAGCGUGGUCCUUUUUUUGUCUCCUAGGGUGUGUAUGUGCAGGACUUUUCCUUCCAGUGGUUCGGCUCCAUCCCAGGAAUGUGCUGGGACCCACUUCUGAGAGCACAGCGCCCUCUGCUCGGUGGAAAUGGACAAAGGUGCACGGCCCUCCCGUGCUGGCACCCCGAGAAAAGCAGUGGUGCCGUGAACACCACCCUUGCCUCACAGUGGGGCCAGGCCCCAGGGUCUGAGGCUGUGCUAUGGGCUGUAAAGCCGUGCUAUGCUCUGGUCCCAGCUCCCCAGCUCAGACUUCUCAGCACGUGUGUACUCAGAGUCACUGGCGCUCCCACACCGGCUACACAAAGAUGGGUGGGAAGGAACCACUUGCAAAGAGGACAGUCACAAUGGCUUGAUCUUCCCUGAAGUGUUGCCGCGGCACCCGGGAAAUCGGUCUGAAUGGGACCUCCUUCUGCUGGGUAACAUCUGUUACAGAAAGAUGAUGUUCACUGCAAGAGAUCUACAUGUU
Molecule: long non-coding RNA, 1452 nt
Filed under: Gallus gallus (chicken)
Lineage: Eukaryota; Metazoa; Chordata; Aves; Galliformes; Phasianidae
Source: RNAcentral